RNAcentral lists this ribosomal RNA (540 nucleotides) under uncultured bacterium. Its description in RNAcentral is "bacterial SSU rRNA". It matches the Rfam family "Bacterial small subunit ribosomal RNA", at positions 345 to 879 of the family's 1533-position model. The record is from RNAcentral.
GAGGCAGCAGGCUAGAAAAUUGGGCAAUGGGGGAAACCCUGACCCAGUGACGCCGCGUGCAGGAAGAAGCCCUUCGGGGUGUAAACUGCUGUCGUGCGGGGCGAAGGGUCCAUAGGCGAAUAGCUUAUGGGCUUGACGGUACCGCAGGAGGAAGCCCAGGCUAACCUCGUGCCAGCAGCCGCGGUAAUACGGGGUGGGCGAGCGUUGCCCGGAAUUACUGGGUUUAAAGGGGGUGUAGGCGGUCCGGAGAGUCAGGUGUGUAAUCCAACCGCUCAACAGUUGGGCUGCACCUGAUACUUCCGGGCUAGAGGGCGGUAGAGGAGAGCGGAACUCCCGGUGUAGCGGUGAAAUGCGUAGAUAUCGGGAGGAACGCCGGUGGCGAAGGCGGCUCUCUGGGCCGUUCCUGACGCUGAGGCCCGAAAGCUGGGGGAGCGAAAGGGGUUAGAUACCCCUGUAGUCCCAGCCGUAAACGAUGGGCACUAGGUGUUCCUCCGAAGGGGGGAGUGCCGACGGGAAACCAUUAAGUGCCCCACCUGGGGA